This 68-nucleotide transfer RNA is filed under the name Antilocapra americana (pronghorn). Its description in RNAcentral is "tRNA-Asp". It matches the Rfam family "tRNA". From Rfam's summary of the family: Transfer RNA (tRNA) molecules are approximately 80 nucleotides in length. Their secondary structure includes four short double-helical elements and three loops (D, anti-codon, and T loops). The record is from RNAcentral. Lineage: Eukaryota; Metazoa; Chordata; Mammalia; Artiodactyla; Antilocapridae.
GAGAUAUUAGUAAAAUAUUACAUGACCUUGUCAAGGUUAAAUUAUAGGUGAAAGCCCUAUAUACCUCG